GAAUAUUGGACAAUGGGCGCAAGCCUGAUCCAGCCAUGCCGCGUGAGUGAUGAAGGCCCUAGGGUUGUAAAGCUCUUUCGCCAGGGACGAUAAUGACGGUACCUGGAUAAGAAGCCCCGGCUAACUUCGUGCCAGCAGCCGCGGUAAUACGAAGGGGGCUAGCGUUGUUCGGAAUCACUGGGCGUAAAGCGCACGCAGGCGGGUCGCUAAGUCAGGGGUGAAAUCCCGAGGCUCAACCUCGGAACUGCCUUUGAUACUGGCGACCUUGAGUCCGGGAGAGGUGAGUGGAACUCCGAGUGUAGAGGUGAAAUUCGUAGAUAUUCGGAAGAACACCAGUGGCGAAGGCGGCUCACUGGCCCGGUACUGACGCUGAGGUGCGAAAGCGUGGGGAGCAAACAGG
Molecule: ribosomal RNA, 400 nt
Filed under: uncultured bacterium
Lineage: Bacteria
Description: bacterial SSU rRNA
Rfam family: Bacterial small subunit ribosomal RNA
Source: RNAcentral